Molecule: ribosomal RNA, 253 nt
Filed under: uncultured bacterium
Lineage: Bacteria
Description: partial 16S ribosomal RNA
Rfam family: Bacterial small subunit ribosomal RNA
Source: RNAcentral
CACGUAGGCACCAAGCGUUGUCCGGAUUUAUUGGGCGUAAAGAGCUCGUAGGCGGCUUGUCGCGUCGACUGUGAAAUCCCGCGGCUCAACCGCGGGUCUGCAGUCGAUACGGGCAGGCUAGAGUUCGGUAGGGGAGACUGGAAUUCCUGGUGUAGCGGUGAAAUGCGCAGAUAUCAGGAGGAACACCGAUGGCGAAGGCAGGUCUCUGGGCCGAUACUGACGCUGAGGAGCGAAAGCGUGGGGAGCGAACAGG